RNAcentral lists this transfer RNA (72 nucleotides) under Camelus bactrianus (Bactrian camel). It matches the Rfam family "tRNA". Rfam says of the family: Transfer RNA (tRNA) molecules are approximately 80 nucleotides in length. RNAcentral also lists the same sequence under 2 other names. Lineage: Eukaryota; Metazoa; Chordata; Mammalia; Artiodactyla; Camelidae. The record is from Rfam by way of RNAcentral.
UGGGGAAUAGCUCAGUGGUAGAGCACAUGCCUAGCAUGCACGAGGUCCUGGGUUCAAUCCCCAGUGCCUCCA